Non-coding RNA from Pelodiscus sinensis (Chinese soft-shelled turtle), 389 nucleotides. The record is from RefSeq and is a predicted model, not a curated record. NCBI's taxonomy places the organism in Eukaryota, Metazoa, Chordata, Testudines, Trionychidae.
CCUUCAGUAAGGAAGGAGACGCGGGGAAUCAAGCACAGAGGAGAUCCCGGGUUUAGAAGCCAGAUUCCUGCAGGAAAAGCAACCCCCUAGGCCAAAAACAAAGUGAACUUCAAGCUCCAGUGUCAUAGAUCUCCAAGUUGCCUGAACCAUCCGUGUAUACACUGCACUUAUCAACUUGUGAGCUUCUGAAGAGUACUGCCAGAGUCUGCUGCCAGCAAGAGCUCCCUGGGCCGGAUCAGAACAGAAAAAUCCCAGCAGUGAGGCAUGUGUAAAAUGAGAACUAUUUCAGUAUCAAGAUCAACAUUGUAAUAGAAUGGACAUGAGAACUGGAUUUAUCCUGACCCUACCAGAGUUGCGUGGACCAGAGGACCCUUAUUUCACUCACCAGA